This 2738-nucleotide ribosomal RNA is filed under the name Pseudomonas putida. RNAcentral's name for it is "23S ribosomal RNA". It matches the Rfam family "Bacterial large subunit ribosomal RNA". Lineage: Bacteria; Pseudomonadati; Pseudomonadota; Gammaproteobacteria; Pseudomonadales; Pseudomonadaceae. The record is from RNAcentral.
GGUCAAGUGAAGAAGCGCAUACGGUGGAUGCCUUGGCAGUCAGAGGCGAUGAAAGACGUGGUAGCCUGCGAUAAGCUUUGGGGAGUCGGCAAACAGACUGUGAUCCAGAGAUCUCUGAAUGGGGGAACCCAGCCAGCAUAAGCUGGUUAUCUUGUACUGAAUACAUAGGUGCAAGAGGCGAACCAGGGGAACUGAAACAUCUAAGUACCCUGAGGAAAAGAAAUCAACCGAGAUUCCCUUAGUAGUGGCGAGCGAACGGGGACCAGCCCUUAAGUUGAUUUGAGAUUAGUGGAACGCUCUGGAAAGUGCGGCCAUAGUGGGUGAUAGCCCCGUACACGAAAAUCUCUUGUCAAUGAAAUCGAGUAGGACGGAGCACGAGAAACUUUGUCUGAAUAUGGGGGGACCAUCCUCCAAGGCUAAAUACUACUGACUGACCGAUAGUGAACCAGUACCGUGAGGGAAAGGCGAAAAGAACCCCGGAGAGGGGAGUGAAAUAGAACCUGAAACCGUAUGCGUACAAGCAGUGGGAGCCUACUUUGUUAGGUGACUGCGUACCUUUUGUAUAAUGGGUCAGCGACUUAUAUUCAGUGGCGAGCUUAACCGAAUAGGGGAGGCGUAGCGAAAGCGAGUCUUAAUAGGGCGUUUAGUCGCUGGGUAUAGACCCGAAACCGGGCGAUCUAUCCAUGGGCAGGUUGAAGGUUAGGUAACACUGACUGGAGGACCGAACCGACUACCGUUGAAAAGUUAGCGGAUGACCUGUGGAUCGGAGUGAAAGGCUAAUCAAGCUCGGAGAUAGCUGGUUCUCCUCGAAAGCUAUUUAGGUAGCGCCUCAUGUAUCACUGUAGGGGGUAGAGCACUGUUUCGGCUAGGGGGUCAUCCCGACUUACCAAACCGAUGCAAACUCCGAAUACCUACAAGUGCCGAGCAUGGGAGACACACGGCGGGUGCUAACGUCCGUCGUGAAAAGGGAAACAACCCAGACCGUCAGCUAAGGUCCCAAAGUCAUGGUUAAGUGGGAAACGAUGUGGGAAGGCUUAGACAGCUAGGAGGUUGGCUUAGAAGCAGCCACCCUUUAAAGAAAGCGUAAUAGCUCACUAGUCGAGUCGGCCUGCGCGGAAGAUGUAACGGGGCUCAAACCAUGCACCGAAGCUACGGGUAUCAUCUUAUGAUGAUGCGGUAGAGGAGCGUUCUGUAAGCCUGUGAAGGUGAGUUGAGAAGCUUGCUGGAGGUAUCAGAAGUGCGAAUGCUGACAUGAGUAACGACAAUGCGAGUGAAAAACUCGCACGCCGAAAGACCAAGGUUUCCUGCGCAACGUUAAUCGACGCAGGGUUAGUCGGUCCCUAAGGCGAGGCUGAAAAGCGUAGUCGAUGGAAAACAGGUUAAUAUUCCUGUACUUCCAGUUAUUGCGAUGGAGGGACGGAGAAGGUUAGGCCAGCCUGGCGUUGGUUGUCCAGGUUUAAGGUGGUAGGCUGAAAUCUUAGGCAAAUCCGGGAUUUCAAGGCCGAGAGCUGAUGACGAGUUGCCUUUAGGCGACGAAGUGGUUGAUACCAUGCUUCCAAGAAAAGCUCCUAAGCUUCAGAUAACUGGGAACCGUACCCCAAACCGACACAGGUGGUUAGGUAGAGAAUACCAAGGCGCUUGAGAGAACUCGGGUGAAGGAACUAGGCAAAAUGGCACCGUAACUUCGGGAGAAGGUGCGCCGGCGAGGGUGAAGGACUUGCUCCGUAAGCCCAUGCCGGUCGAAGAUACCAGGCCGCUGCGACUGUUUAUUAAAAACACAGCACUCUGCAAACACGAAAGUGGACGUAUAGGGUGUGACGCCUGCCCGGUGCCGGAAGGUUAAUUGAUGGGGUUAGCGCAAGCGAAGCUCUUGAUCGAAGCCCCGGUAAACGGCGGCCGUAACUAUAACGGUCCUAAGGUAGCGAAAUUCCUUGUCGGGUAAGUUCCGACCUGCACGAAUGGCGUAACGAUGGCGGCGCUGUCUCCACCCGAGACUCAGUGAAAUUGAAAUCGCUGUGAAGAUGCAGUGUAUCCGCGGCUAGACGGAAAGACCCCGUGAACCUUUACUAUAGCUUUGCACUGGACUUUGAAUUUGCUUGUGUAGGAUAGGUGGGAGGCUUUGAAGUGGGGACGCCAGUUCUCAUGGAGCCAUCCUUGAAAUACCACCCUGGCAACUUUGAGGUUCUAACUCAGGUCCGUUAUCCGGAUCGAGGACAGUGUAUGGUGGGUAGUUUGACUGGGGCGGUCUCCUCCCAAAGAGUAACGGAGGAGUACGAAGGUGCUAACAGGCUGAUACCGCCCAAGAGUUCAUAUCGACGGCGGUGUUUGGCACCUCGAUGUCGGCUCAUCACAUCCUGGGGCUGAAGCCGGUCCCAAGGGUAUGGCUGUUCGCCAUUUAAAGUGGUACGCGAGCUGGGUUUAGAACGUCGUGAGACAGUUCGGUCCCUAUCUGCCGUGGACGUUUGAGAUUUGAGAGGGGCUGCUCCUAGUACGAGAGGACCGGAGUGGACGAACCUCUGGUGUUCCGGUUGUCACGCCAGUGGCAUUGCCGGGUAGCUAUGUUCGGAAGAGAUAACCGCUGAAAGCAUCUAAGCGGGAAACUUGCCUCAAGAUGAGAUCUCACUGGGAUCUUGAAUCCCCUAAAGGGCCGUCGAAGACUACGACGUUGAUAGGUUGGGUGUGUAAGCGCUGUGAGGCGUUGAGCUAACCAAUACUAAUUGCCCGUGAGGCUUGACCAU